UGUGGACGCCAGUCUGCAUGGAGCCGACCUUGAAAUACCACCCUUUAAUGUUUGAUGUUCUAACGUUGGCCCGUAAUCCGGGUUGCGGACAGUGUCUGGUGGGUAGUUUGACUGGGGCGGUCUCCUCCUAAAGAGUAACGGAGGAGCACGAAGGUUGGCUAAUCCUGGUCGGACAUCAGGAGGUUAGUGCAAUGGCAUAAGCCAGCUUGACUGCGAGCGUGACGGCGCGAGCAGGUGCGAAAGCAGGUCAUAGUGAUCCGGUGGUUCUGAAUGGAAGGGCCAUCGCUCAACGGAUAAAAGGUACUCCGGGGAUAACAGGCUGAUACCGCCCAAGAGUUCAUAUCGACGGCGGUGUUUGGCACCUCGAUGUCGGCUCAUCACAUCCUGGGGCUGAAGUAGGUCCCAAGGGUAUGGCUGUUCGCCAUUUAAAGUGGUACGCGAGCUGGGUUUAGAACGUCGUGAGACAGUUCGGUCCCUAUCUGCCGUGGGCGCUGGAGAACUGAGGGGGGCUGCUCCUAGUACGAGAGGACCGGAGUGGACGCAUCACUGGUGUUCGGGUUGUCAUGCCAAUGGCACUGCCCGGUAGCUAAAUGCGGAAGAGAUAAGUGCUGAAAGCAUCUAAGCACGAAACUUGC
This 635-nucleotide ribosomal RNA is filed under the name Escherichia coli. RNAcentral's name for it is "partial 23S ribosomal RNA". It matches the Rfam family "Bacterial large subunit ribosomal RNA", at positions 2163 to 2797 of the family's 2925-position model. The record is from RNAcentral. Lineage: Bacteria; Pseudomonadati; Pseudomonadota; Gammaproteobacteria; Enterobacterales; Enterobacteriaceae.